GAUGAAGAACGUAGCGAAAUGCGAUAAGUAAUGUGAAUUGCAGAAUUCAGUGAAUCAUCCAAUCUUUGAACGCACAUUGCGCCCAUUAGUAUUCUAGUGGGCAUGCCUGUUCGAGCGUCAUUAAUUCCACUUAAGCCCUGCUUAGUGUUGGGAAUCUACUCUAGUGGUGCUACCCUGGAGCUACCCCUGAAAGGGGGCUGGCCCGGUAGCUACCCUGUAGUUCCUCAAAGAUAGUGCGCGGAGUUGCGUGGUCCUCUGAGCUUAGUAACUAUACACCUAGCUUUUGAGUGUCCCGCGGCGCCUGCCGUUUAAACCCCAUCUUUUAAUGGUUGACCUCGGAUCAGGUAGGAAUACCCGCUGAACUUAAGCAUAUCAAUAAGCGGAGGA
RNAcentral lists this unclassified non-coding RNA (387 nucleotides) under soil metagenome. RNAcentral describes it as "partial contains 5.8S ribosomal RNA, internal transcribed spacer 2, and large subunit ribosomal RNA". The stretch from base 1 to 120 matches the Rfam family "5.8S ribosomal RNA", at positions 35 to 154 of the family's 154-position model. The record is from RNAcentral.